This 944-nucleotide long non-coding RNA is filed under the name Sus scrofa (pig). Its description in RNAcentral is "lncRNA (ENSSSCG00035007734.1)". Lineage: Eukaryota; Metazoa; Chordata; Mammalia; Artiodactyla; Suidae. The record is from RNAcentral.
GACGAGUGGGAAAUGAAACACAGAUGGGUCAGAUGGGUAAGGAGAGGGGGAUUACAGGUCAGGCCAAAGAGUUGGAAUAAAUUAAGUGCUUAUGAGGUACAGAAUGGCACAUUGUUUAAGUGAAUGGACAGGGAAAAAACAUUCCAGCAUUGUUCAUCCGCUGAGGGAGCCCAACGCUCCUCUUCCCAGACGAGCCCAGGCCACAGAGCGCCUCCUCCUCGCCAGGAUGUUUGUGACCCACAGACUGAAAACGCGGCCAGGCGGUGCCCGAAACAUUCUCCCAGCCUCCAAAGAGGCCAGUUUGGCUUUAUUACACGGGAGAUGUAAUUUAUUGGGAGAAAUGUUUGGGUUCGUGUGUCGGAUGGUGGAGAGUCAGAUUUGGAGUUCCCUGGGGAUCUCCGAGGAGAAGAAGCAGAUGUUCACAAAGCAACUGACCAGGCCAGGUGUGUCCUUCAAGGCUACCUGCAUUCAACAGAGGCGACCACAGCCCAGACCCAUCCUUCUUGGGAGAAUUUCAAGAUGCUCCACAUAGUGGUGCCUAGCGCUCUGUGCACUCAGAGGCUAGAAGAAAAGAUACAGAGGUCCUCUUUCAAGGAGAGGCCCUGAUGUUUCUAUUCUUACAAGGAUUCUUUGGUAAUAAAUACAGUGAAAACACCGUCACCGUAGAGAUAAUACUUAAUGCUCAAGAGGUACGUAGCAGAGAUUGCAUUCCAAUCAAGGACUUCCGUAACCCUGUCUACCAAGCCAGUAUCACCUGUAGGCCAGUUCACCUUCAUCCAGUCACUUUACAGCACUUGAGUGUUUGCUGUCCGCUCAAUUAAAAUCCUACUCUGGUGGGAAAAACCAGAUUUCCAAAUGGGGACUUUAUUGAUUCAAUAAAAUUUAAGAAAUUCUGCUUAUGGAAAAACUCAUUAACCCAAACUAAUAAAUACGAGUUUACCCUG